This 208-nucleotide unclassified non-coding RNA is filed under the name Hevea brasiliensis (rubber tree). Lineage: Eukaryota; Viridiplantae; Streptophyta; Magnoliopsida; Malpighiales; Euphorbiaceae. The record is from RNAcentral.
UGACACCACAUAUCUCGCAUAUCCUGAAAAUGAGAGGAGAGGAAAAGUGUGCCUGAAAAAUGACCACACUUGUACUUGAGUUAGCCACUCAUAACAAAAUUUGUCCUACUAAGUAACAAAAAUUGUCCAGUUUCUAUUAGUCUCAGCUGGCCACCCUUUCCUGUCGCCACUGGACAACACUCAAACAAAGCUGAGCAGCGAGACGUAG